RNAcentral lists this small nuclear RNA (23 nucleotides) under Arabidopsis thaliana (thale cress). RNAcentral describes it as "snRNA_02257". The record is from RNAcentral. Lineage: Eukaryota; Viridiplantae; Streptophyta; Magnoliopsida; Brassicales; Brassicaceae.
UAAACCAGUUGGACAAAGACCCA